UUUUAUCCAGGAUGGUGCAUGUGAUUUGGGCGAAACUGUUUUGCCAACUCAGGGAAGUGAGAACAUGACUGAUGAAGAUGCUGUUCAAAGUCCUGGUGAUGAUAGACUAGAGACUUCAAAUACCGAUCAUGUCAAAGAAGAGAAAAAGGAUGGAUGUGAACAUAACUCAAGCGAAAUGUCAGGUGUGCAUAAAGAAGAGAACACAAUUCAUGUUCAGGAAAGAGAUAUCAGUGGGCAACUUCUCACAAAAAAGGGCACUGAAGAAGCAACACAAGCUUCAUUUGAAAGUGAUCCUCAGGGAGCACAAGAUGUCACAAAAGAAGAUGAUACCACAGAAGAUGGUGAGCAAACUAGUGAUCUUAACAAGCAACCUGAUGAUGUAGCACUUCAACUGCAAACAUGUGAGGCAGAUGCUUUAUCCAUUGGGAGACAAGAUGAGGUUGUGCAAAAGGUUGACUUGGAUCAACAACAGAAAAAAGAUGAGGAGAUUGAAAAUCAGAAGGAAGAAAUUCAGGCAGAUGAACAGAAACAUGAGGACAAGGGGGAUGAUUUCACCAUGGAACCACUUGUGGAGCCCGAUGAUAUCGAAAAUGGUGCCAAAAAUAGAACAGAAGACACUGAUGUAUGUGAGGUAAAUACCACUCUAGGACUCAUUGCAUGUGUUACCUUUUCAGGAUUUCUUGAGUUAGAAACUCACAAAGAGUAAAUUCAUACUCAAUGCAAUCUUUGCAGGCUGAACAAACAGAGGCACUCAUUACUGAAAUUCUUAAGCAUGAAGAAGCCCCACAUGUAUCUGAAGAAUCCACCCCAAGUAGCACGGAUAUGGAGGUUGACAAUGUUAAGGGAACAGAUGAAGGAACAGAAGAAGAUUCUGGUGCUAAAAAUGAUAAUAAAGAUGAGAAGGAGAGUGCAGAAAAUAAUGACAUAGUAGCAAACGAUUCUACUGAUGAACAUGAUGAAACAAUUUAUGAAAUUAAUAAUGAAGAGGUCAGUUCAGAGUUUCCAUCAAUGAAGUGUGAGAAAUUAGAUCUACAUUCUUUUGUUAAUAUCAUCUGAAAAAUGUUCUUUUGUUAAUCAUAUUGGUGUUGGAUUCCCAAAGAUCAAAUUAACUUUCCAAAUUAGAAAUGUAGAGAAAAAAUAAAGAAAGCAUGGCGAACAAUGAGCCAGAACCUUCCUUAUUGUUGGUCCAUCGCGUCACCAUCUUGAGAAAGCUCCGGGAAACGCCAGCGACUACUCUUAGUACAUCAAAUUAUUAUGUGGGAUCACUAUUAAGUAGAAGUAAAAGUAAUAUAGGAGUAAAUAUAUAAGAAUGGCAUUUACAGAGACCAAAGAACAAUGCAGCAAUUAUUUGUUAAUAGCCUCUAAUUAGUCAUUACCCAUACUAAAAGCACUGCUACAUUUACUCAUUUUGCAGGUUGAACCUGGUUUGGCAUCCUCUGGUCAAGAAGCAUCUGAACCGGCUCCUUCAAAUGAUGCUAUACUAGAGAAUGUAAGAUCUAAUUGACUGAAUAUUCCUCUAAAACAAUUGACUGAACACUGCCAAUGAUGUUUUGAAAGCAAUAUGUGGUAACCAUUCCAAACUCCAAAGGUGCAUUUUUUUUGGAGUCGGUUUUCCUGUCUUUUUUAAAAGAAAUAUAAGCAGACUCCCAUAAGAAAAUUUUAAAGUGAUAGACAUAAUAAUAUUGGUAUACAGGUAAAAACAAAAUAACAAGAAAACAAAGAGUGGGGUUUAGUUUUGCAGCCCAUACAAAAAAAAAUCUUCGCUGCAUCACCACAUGCAACUUCAGUGGCAUUCAUCACUAAAUUUUUUGUAGUUUCCAAUGGUCAGAUGGCUCUUCAAUUAGGUCAUGAUGCAUCUGCAGUUCGAGAAACAUCCAUAACAGUAAUUCUGACACCAUAAUAAUCUCAGGAGCUACUAUAUUUGCUGUGCAGGAUUCUGCAGCUGUUACUCAGAAUGUUGAAUCAGGAGAGCAUAGGGAGGAUAAAGAAUGCACAGACAAGGUUAAUGAUGAUGUCCACACCAUUCAAGCAUCGGAGAAAGAGAUUGCAGGUGAAAUAAAUGAGAAUAAAGAAAUUCAAAAUGAAGACAAUGCUAUCCAUCAUGAUGAAUCACAGACAAAAUCUGAAAAGGAUGAGGCGCCUCAACUGCAUGCCAGUGAACCAUGCAACAUGGAUGCCAAAAUUGAUGAUACAACAACUCCAGGCAAAGAAAUAAUCGAUGGUAAUGCAAGUAUAAAGCCCAGAGAAAUUGAAGAGAUUGGAGAAAACAAGGGACUCGACUCCACUUCCAAACCUUUUGUAGAAUCAUCCAUACAGAACAAUGUUGAGCAGGACUUAAGCAUUCAUCACAAGGUCAGUACUAAUAUCCUUAACAUGUACCAGUCUUAUACGGGUCCAAAUUCGUUUUUCUUGUCAAAUCUUCUCUUAGUAAAAUUCUAUGCCAUUUUUUUCCUGCAAUCAGGUUGAAGACGAAAAUCUUUCAAUGAUGGAGCAAAAUGAUGUAGAUAUUGAAGCUAUGCAAGAAAAAGCUGAUGAAUCUGCCUCAGAUAUAAAUCUAACCAAGCAAUGUCAGGAAGAAAUUAGUGAAGAUGAUGUUCAGCAACUUGAAAUAGAAGAAAGUUCAUUUGACAAAAUUGAUGAAACCGUUUCACAUGAGAAAACAGAGACAAGCACCACUGAAGCGGUAAUAGUCAAUGACACCAUCACCAAUAAGGUCAGUAAGUGAGAGAAAUCAAUGAAUAUUGGAGUUACAUUCUGUAUUGCUAAUCUAAUUUUCCAUUUCCCAUGUAGGCUAGUGGAGACGAUGGUGAACCAUCUGAUGGAAGUCUCAAAACCUUUAAUGACACUGGAAGGGAUCUUGAUGUUUCAUCUGUAAUUACAGCAUCAAAGGAAGAAAGUGUGAAUGAGAAUAUGGAAGACCAUAAGCUUGCUCUUCCUGCGCAUACUGCACAGGACGAAAACACCCCUGCGCAUCAAGAGAAGACGGAAAGAGAGAUGCCUUCAUCAGAGAAGCCCCUUCCUACUGAACCAGAAGAGAAUCAAAUUCCCAAUGAAAUAAAUGAAGGGGAGUUACAGGAUGAAAAUCAAAUUCCCAAUGAAAAGAAUGAACAGGACAUUCAAGAUACAGAAAUUGAAGAUGCUCAGAAUGAUGUUGAACCAGAUUUACCUGUUUCUCAUUUUCUGAUGAAUUUAAUAUUAGGAAAAAAGAACGGUGUUGCAGAUGAAAAUUCAGAACCUGGGGCUGAAGGGAAGCAAGGAGAAACAACAGAAGACGAUAGCUGCGUGCUCAUUUCUAAAGAAGAAGAAAGUGUGGGGCCACUUUGCACAGAAAAUAAGGUGGAUGACAAUCUCACCUUUGAACAAGAAAAACAUGAUGCCAAAUGCUCCGAAGAAACACAGGAAAUGGUCAAAGAACAAAGUGAUGAUCUUAAGCUGGACACAGAAAGAUCACUACAUACUGAUGAAGAGUCCAAUAAGAACACUCAAGGCAAUCCCCAAGACAAAAUUUCUGAUGAACUGUUAUCAGAAGAAGCAGCUAGUGUUUCUACAAAUAUGAAAGCGAGAGAUAUUGAGAUUUCGAACUUUGAGCUGGAUGAUAAAGCAGUUGAUACUGUCUGUCAGGAAGACACGGAGGAGUCAACAAAAGUUGAAAAUGAGAGCUUGAAGAGCAACAUAAAUGAUUUAACAAAUACAGAGGCUUCGGAAGAGGAUACUCUAGGGGAACAACAAACAGGACUCUUGCAUGAAUCUUUACCUGAAGAUAAUAGUGCUGAUGCAGUGUCCGCGCCCUUGCUGAUAGAAUCAGGUGUGGUUGAUGCAAAAGAUUCAUCUUAUGAUGCUGAGGCUGCCCAGAACCUUACCUGUGCAAAAGAAGAUGAUCCCACUGAAUCUUCCAUCAUUGAGGCAACAAGUAGUCCUCAUAUUCAACUGGAGUGUGAAGAAGUAGAGAAGAAAGAAGAGGAGCAGCAUGCAAGCAAGGGCACAGAAAACGUUCCCAAAGAAGCUGUAGAAAGUUCAAAUGACAAUCCUCAGAAAAGCACAAGCUCUGAAGUAACACCUCAUGAGCAAGAACCUCAUAUAACGGAACCAGUUAGUGACACUGAGAAGAUUUUGGCUCCUGAAAAGGAAAUUUGUGAAGGCUCAACAUGCAUGGAUGAGAAAGAAAACUCUAACUUCUCAAUUAAAGGAGUAGAAAACUUUCAAACAGAAGUUGAAAUUCAGGCUGACAGUCCAAACAUGCAGAUCAACCAAGAUAAGAAAGAUGAAGUUGCUGACAACAAAACUGCAAUGGGACCAGAAAAGCUAGGGGAAUAUGAUUUUCAGGAGCAGCAGGAAACUGAUAGGAAACAUGAAGUUGCUGACAACAAAACUGCAAUGGGCCCAGAAAAACUAGGGGAAUCUGAUUUUCAGGAGCAGCAGGAAACUGAUACUGAGCAAAAGUCUCCUAAAGUGAGUGAUGAAGGAGACCAGCAAUUUUUGGUCAAAAAAGAGACCAUGAUCAAAGAACAGGUUGUGCCUGGAACAGUUGAAAGCCAUGAGCAAACAGUGAGUAUAAAAUCUAACGAAAAGCAAGAACUGUUUGAUUCAAAGGUCCAGGAACGUGAUCUCAAUGUAGUUUCACCCAGAGAAGCUUCUGAGGCUGAAGAAAACUUUGUGGGCGUAACCAAGCCAGAAUUCAGCACAGAUGAAGAGCAAAGUCCAAAGGCUGAUGCAGAUGAGAAAACUUAUGAUGAGAAGAUAAAGGACGUAGAGGGAACUAAGGAUUUCACUGAUGGAGCAGCAACGAAAACUGAAGCACCAGGAGCAACAAAGAAGGCACCUAAAAAACUCAACCUAUUGUCUGGCGUUGGAUCAAAGGUAAAGCACCAACUAGCAAAGGUGAAGAAAGCCAUCGUAGGUAAGCCUGGGAACACAAAACCAGACUCACCAAAGUCAUAGUGAUGCAUUCACCUUAGAGCAUGUAUAUUAUUGUAAUGUUUGUACUUUGUGAGCUAUUCAUUUGAGUGGUAGAAUGUUAGCGACGGGACAGGAGAAGCUCCUCUUCACAACCAUCGCGUUGAAAUAUUCCUGUGAUGCUGAAGACGUUUGUAAAUAUGUCAUAGCGUGUAAAUCUAAGUUUCCAUGGUAUUGUUUCAUGGAACUUUAAGGUAGAGUCAAGGGCAUGGACCUGGUGGAUUGCUUGUAUUCUUUAUUGAUAUAUGCACAUGCAUUUUUGUGGUCAUGAUGCGGUACAUUCUUCAUUUUCCUAGAAAAACAUGUUCUGUCACUCUGUGUCUUGCUCCUGUUCUGACCCUCAAUCAGAUCAUGCUGGUGGAAACUAGAACCAAGCAGGCAAGAAAUGACAAUUCAGUUUUACAUUUAGCAGUAACUAUAAACAGGUCCUGGUGUUCAACAGAGUCCCAAAUGUUGGUGGGCAAAAUUCAGUCCAAGGAGCGUGGAGAUGAGAUAUACAGUAGAUACCUUGGUGUGAAGACCGAACGCGAGGCAACUUUCUAUGUCGCGGAUCGCCGCAGCUUGACAUCUCGCGCUGAAUCCGCACCGCGUUGCGGACCAGACCGCACGUCGCGGACUCUGCAGCAUCCAGGGCCGCCUCGCCGUGCGCGCGCGGGGCGGAGAUGGGCGAGCGUCGAGCAGGCGGUGGGCACGCCGCGCGCGGAGGCGGCGGCGAUUUCGAGUUCUCGA
RNAcentral lists this long non-coding RNA (5682 nucleotides) under Setaria italica (foxtail millet). RNAcentral describes it as "long non-coding RNA (SITA_LNC000198)". The record is from RNAcentral. Lineage: Eukaryota; Viridiplantae; Streptophyta; Magnoliopsida; Poales; Poaceae.